Marasmius tenuissimus is the source of this 99-nucleotide non-coding RNA. The record is from the annotation of a GenBank genome assembly. Lineage: Eukaryota; Fungi; Basidiomycota; Agaricomycetes; Agaricales; Marasmiaceae.
CCCAGAAUAGUGGGUGAGGUGGUUACAGCGUCCGACUGUUAUGGUCUCAACUUUUGUUAUAUUUCAAUUGGAAGGUCGUGAGUUCAAGCCUUACUGGGG